Molecule: ribosomal RNA, 468 nt
Filed under: Pseudocordylus microlepidotus microlepidotus
Lineage: Eukaryota; Metazoa; Chordata; Lepidosauria; Squamata; Cordylidae
Description: partial 12S small subunit ribosomal RNA
Rfam family: Bacterial small subunit ribosomal RNA
Source: RNAcentral
GCCUAGCCUUAAACCUAGAUAGAAAAAUACCACCUAUCCGCCAGAGAACUACAAGCAAAAUACUUAAAACUCAAAGGACUUGGCGGCAUUCCAUAUCAACCUAGAGGAGCCCGUCCAAUAAUCGAUAAUACACGCUCAACCCCACCACUUUUGGCCACUCCAGCCUAUAUACCGCCGUCGUCAGCUAACCUUGUGAAAGAAAAGUAGUAAGCACAAUAGCCCUCGCUAGAACGUCAGGUCAAGGUGUAGCUAAUAAAGUGGAUGUGAUAGGCUACAUUUUCUACUAUAGAAAACACGGAAAAUACAAUGAAACUUUGUAAUUAAAGGUGAAUUUAGAAGUAAAAUAAGAAAGUGCCCUUAUUUUAAUACCGCCCUGGAAUGCGCACACACCGCCCGUCACCCUCCUCGAAAUAAACCAGAUGAGGUAAGUCGUAACAUGGUAAGCGUACUGGAAAGUGCGCUUGGAUU